AUUUAAAUAGCUUAUAUAAAAGAGCAUAACACUGAAGAUGUUAAGGAAACGUAGGGUUUUUAAAUA
This 66-nucleotide transfer RNA is filed under the name Xiphidiopsis gurneyi. RNAcentral describes it as "tRNA-Phe". The record is from RNAcentral. Lineage: Eukaryota; Metazoa; Arthropoda; Insecta; Orthoptera; Tettigoniidae.